This 253-nucleotide ribosomal RNA is filed under the name uncultured bacterium. RNAcentral describes it as "partial 16S ribosomal RNA". It matches the Rfam family "Bacterial small subunit ribosomal RNA", at positions 524 to 776 of the family's 1533-position model. The record is from RNAcentral.
UACGAAGGGGGCUAGCGUUGCUCGGAAUCACUGGGCGUAAAGCGCACGUAGGCGGCUCGUUAAGUCAGGGGUGAAAUCCUGGAGCUCAACUCCAGAACUGCCUUUGAUACUGACAGGCUCGAGUCCGGGAGAGGUGAGUGGAACUGCGAGUGUAGAGGUGAAAUUCUUUGAUACCAUGACGACUGGUAAAGGCGAAAGCAACCUUUUAUCUAAUAACUGACGUUGAGGGACGAAGGCUCGGGUCGCGAACAGG